GUCCCCUUCGUCUAGUGGUCAGGACACCGGGUUUUCAUCCCGGCAACACGGGUUCGACUCCCGUAGGGGAUG
Molecule: transfer RNA, 72 nt
Filed under: Spirochaetaceae bacterium
Lineage: Bacteria; Pseudomonadati; Spirochaetota; Spirochaetia; Spirochaetales; Spirochaetaceae
Description: tRNA-Glu
Rfam family: tRNA
About the family: Transfer RNA (tRNA) molecules are approximately 80 nucleotides in length.
Source: RNAcentral